UCCCUGGUGGUCCAGUGGUUAGAACUCUGCACUUUCACUGCCAAGGGAGCAAGUUCAAGCCCUGCUCAGGAAA
This 73-nucleotide transfer RNA is filed under the name Bos taurus (domestic cattle). It matches the Rfam family "tRNA". From Rfam's summary of the family: Transfer RNA (tRNA) molecules are approximately 80 nucleotides in length. Their secondary structure includes four short double-helical elements and three loops (D, anti-codon, and T loops). The record is from Rfam by way of RNAcentral. RNAcentral also lists the same sequence under 5 other names. Lineage: Eukaryota; Metazoa; Chordata; Mammalia; Artiodactyla; Bovidae.